AGAGUUUGAUCCUGGCUCAGAUUGAACGCUGGCGGCAUGCCUUACACAUGCAAGUCGAACGGCAGCACGGGGGCAACCCUGGUGGCGAGUGGCGAACGGGUGAGUAAUACAUCGGAACGUGUCCUGUAGUAGGGGAUAGCCCGGCGAAAGCCGGAUUAAUACCGCAUACGAUCUAGGGAUGAAAGCGGGGGACCGAAAGGCCUCGCGCUAUAGGGGCGGCCGAUGGCGGAUUAGCUAGUUGGUGGGGUAAAGGCCUACCAAGGCGACGAUCCGUAGCUGGUCUGAGAGGACGAUCAGCCACACUGGGACUGAGACACGGCCCAGACUCCUACGGGAGGCAGCAGUGGGGAAUUUUGGACAAUGGGGGAAACCCUGAUCCAGCAAUGCCGCGUGUGUGAAGAAGGCCUUCGGGUUGUAAAGCACUUUUGUCCGGAAAGAAAACGUUUUGGAUAAUACCCAGAGCGGAUGACGGUACCGGAAGAAUAAGCACCGGCUAACUACGUGCCAGCCGCCGCGGUAAUUC
This 523-nucleotide ribosomal RNA is filed under the name uncultured bacterium. RNAcentral describes it as "bacterial SSU rRNA". It matches the Rfam family "Bacterial small subunit ribosomal RNA", at positions 8 to 526 of the family's 1533-position model. The record is from RNAcentral.